GGUAAUGUGGCCGAGUGUAGGCGGCGAGUUGUAGCCUCGCCAACCGAGGAGUAACCUCGCAAUACCAGGUCG
This 72-nucleotide transfer RNA is filed under the name Lygodactylus soutpansbergensis. RNAcentral describes it as "Lygodactylus nigropunctatus soutpansbergensis tRNA-Tyr". Lineage: Eukaryota; Metazoa; Chordata; Lepidosauria; Squamata; Gekkonidae. The record is from RNAcentral.